GGGUCGCUAGCUCAACGGCAGAGCAGGGGUCUCUUAAAUCCAAGGUUGUGGGUUCGAAUCCCACGCGACCCACCA
Molecule: transfer RNA, 75 nt
Filed under: Actinomycetota bacterium
Lineage: Bacteria; Bacillati; Actinomycetota
Description: tRNA-Lys
Rfam family: tRNA
About the family: Transfer RNA (tRNA) molecules are approximately 80 nucleotides in length. Their secondary structure includes four short double-helical elements and three loops (D, anti-codon, and T loops). Further hydrogen bonds mediate the characteristic L-shaped molecular structure. tRNAs have two regions of fundamental functional importance: the anti-codon, which is responsible for specific mRNA codon recognition, and the 3' end, to which the tRNAs corresponding amino acid is attached (by aminoacyl-tRNA synthetases). tRNAs cope with the degeneracy of the genetic code in two manners: having more than one tRNA (with a specific anti-codon) for a particular amino acid; and 'wobble' base-pairing, i.e. permitting non-standard base-pairing at the 3rd anti-codon position.
Source: RNAcentral